GAGACUUUUACUUUCCUCAAUAUUUUGCGCGAACUCUGACCAAUACUUUUCUCUUACUUCCCUUCUUUUCUCCCCACACAUCUUUGAUAUGUUAAGUAGUAUGUCCUUAUCUUCUUCCCGCCUGCCUCUCUUAGCCCAUUCCCUGUGUGCCAUCCUUAACAUUUGUGUCCACCCUUUAAGUGUCUUAUCACUGCAGUAUCUGUUUUUCCGUGCUCCGUGUUUCUUCUCCUUUCUGUGUGACUUAGCCUUUGUAGGUAAACAUCUUUCUAUCGCACUUAACAAAUCCUCGCUGAACCUAUCUAAACUUAGGGGUGUGUAAUCUCUGUACCAGCCCUCCAUAUUGUAAAUAAACAAUUCUCUGUC
Molecule: long non-coding RNA, 363 nt
Filed under: Penaeus japonicus
Lineage: Eukaryota; Metazoa; Arthropoda; Malacostraca; Decapoda; Penaeidae
Description: uncharacterized LOC122245175
Source: RNAcentral